CUCCACUCUAGACUAGGGUUAAUAUAUUUAUGAUAAAAUGAGUUUCUAAAUAGUAAAAACUUUUGAUGUAAGCAAUAAAAUAAAAUAAAGUAAAAUUAAGUUUUGGUCAAUUUGCAUUAAAAAUCUACUGCUUGUGUUUUUACAAAAAUAGGUCUUUUUUAAAAAUUUUGUAGAUCAGAUCUGGAUAUUUAGUAUUGACCAAAAUACUCUUAUUUCUCUUUCUCUCUCAUUUGUUUUUCUCCUCUCUCUUUAUCUCUCUCUUCCUUGUCAUUCCUUCCUCUCUUUCUCCUCCUGCUUUCUUUCUUUCUUCUCCUUAACAUUCCUUCUUCUCUCUUCUCCUCCUCGGUAAUAUAUUGGACUUUACUAAAUU
Molecule: long non-coding RNA, 370 nt
Filed under: Ananas comosus (pineapple)
Lineage: Eukaryota; Viridiplantae; Streptophyta; Magnoliopsida; Poales; Bromeliaceae
Description: long non-coding RNA (ACOM_LNC003078)
Source: RNAcentral